Molecule: ribosomal RNA, 441 nt
Filed under: uncultured bacterium
Lineage: Bacteria
Description: bacterial SSU rRNA
Rfam family: Bacterial small subunit ribosomal RNA
Source: RNAcentral
CCUANGGGGGGCAGCAGUUGGGAAUAUUGCGCAAUGGGCGAAAGCCUGACGCAGCGACGCCGCGUGGUCGAAGAAGCCUUUCGGGGUGUAAAGACCUUUUUUAGGGGACGAUUGUGACGGUACCCUAAGAAUAAGGGCCUGCUAACUACGUGCCAGCAGCAGCGGUAAUACGUAGGGCUCAAGCGUUAUCCGGAAUUAUUGGGCGUAAAGAGUAUGUAGGUGGUGCGAUAAGUCAAAUUUAAAAGACUAAAGCUUAACUUUGGUUCUGGAUUUGAAACUAUCACACUUUGAGAAUAGUAGGGGCAAGCGGAACUCCCGGUGUAGCAGUGAAAUGCGUUGAUAUCGGGAAGAACACCAAUGGCGAAGGCAGCUUGCUAGGCUAUUUCUGACACUGAGAUACGAAAGCGUGGGGAGCGAACGGGAUUAGAUACCCUUNUANUC